Hevea brasiliensis (rubber tree) is the source of this 2632-nucleotide RNA transcript. It is a transcript of the gene named RNA-binding KH domain-containing protein RCF3, with no coding region annotated. Lineage: Eukaryota; Viridiplantae; Streptophyta; Magnoliopsida; Malpighiales; Euphorbiaceae. The transcript has 8 exons. The record is from RefSeq and is a predicted model, not a curated record.
ACUCGCUCGUGUCACUUUCCUUCUCUCCAUAAAUCACACACGCCGCUCACGCCGGAACAAAACUACCAAAAAGUCAAAUUAUCAGACGCGCACACCACAAGAAUUCGCCUUUGUAGUUCAUCUUCUUCUUAGUUUACGUGUUACCCUCUCUCUCUUUCUGUCUCUAACCAUUUCCAGAUCUGUAUCUCUCUAUGGCCGGCCAGAGAAAUGACUACGGCAAGAGAUCCAAUUCCCAAUCUGACUACGGCGGAGGCAAGCGGAGGAACCCCGGCGAUGAUAUUGACCAGCCGCAUGCGAUUGGGAGUGAAGACACCGUGUACCGCUACUUAUGCCCGCUGAGAAAGAUUGGGAGUAUAAUUGGGCGAGGCGGAGAGAUUGCUAAGCAAUUGAGGUCGGAGAGUAAAUCCAAUAUUAGAAUUGGCGAGGCUAUGCCAGGGUUUGAGGAGCGCAUUGUUACUAUUUACAGCUCUGGUGAGAAGACCAAUCUCUUUGGAGAUACUGGAGAGUUCGUUUCCCCUGCUCAGGAUGCUCUUUUCAUGGUUCAUGAUAGGAUUGUUUCCGAGGACCUUCCGCCUAAUAAUACUAAUGAUGGGGAUGAUGAAUUUGGGGAGCCUCAACAGGUUACUGUUAGAUUGCUUGUGCCUUCUGAUCAGAUUGGCUGUGUUAUUGGGAAAGGUGGACAAGUGAUUCAGAAUAUAAGGGGCGAAACCGGCGCUCAGAUUCGUAUUCUAAAGGAUGAGCAUCUGCCUCCUCUGGCUUUAAGUAGUGAUGAGCUUCUUCAGAUUAUUGGAGAACCUGCAGUUGUUAGAAAGGCUCUUUAUCAAGUGGCUUCUCGCCUUCAUGUGAAUCCAUCUCGAUCCCAGCACCUACUUUUGUCUUCUUCAACCAACAUGUAUCAAUCUGGUGGCAUGUUUGUGACUGCAAAUGCUGGUGCCCCUCUAAUGGGUCUUUAUGGAAAUUACAAAGGUGGAUGGUCAUCAUCUUUUUACUCUGAUCAGAGAGAUGAAGCUUCUGCUAAAGAGUUCUCUCUUCGUAUGGUGUGUCCCGCUGGAAAUAUUGGAGGUGUCAUUGGAAAAGGUGGUGGUAUCAUUAAGCAAAUUCGUCAGGAAUCUAGGGCUUCCAUCAAAGUUGAUAGUUCAAGUGCUGAAGGAGAUGAUUGUAUUAUAUUUAUAUCAGCAAAGGAGUUUUUUGAAGAACAUUCACCAACACUCACUGCAGCACUGCGUUUGCAACCACGAUGCAGUGAGAAAACUGAAAGGGAAUCGAGUGAUUCUGUAAUUACCACUCGUCUACUUGUGCCAAGGUCACAGAUUGGUUGCCUUUUGGGUAAAGGAGGGGCUAUCAUUUCUGAGAUGAGGAGUGUGACAAGGGCAAGCAUUCGGAUUCUCGCAGAGGAAAACCUUCCUGAGGUUGCUUCUGAGGAUGAUGAGAUGGUGCAGAUCACUGGCAGCCUUGAUGUUGCUAGCAAUGCUCUCUUACAUGUUAUUUUGAGGUUGAAAGCCAAUUUAUUUGCAAGGGAUGGAGCACUCAGUGCACUUCCACCAGCUCUUCCAUAUAUUCCCGUUUCAGUGGACAUGUUAGAUGGUCCAAAAUAUGGGACCCGAGACAAUCAAUCACGUGGACGUGGAUACUCUUCAGCUGGUGGUUACAGUUCUCGUGAUUUGCCCCCAAGUGACAAUUACGGAAAUAAUGGUAGUUCACUGAGUGGUGGUGAAAGUGGGUAUGGAGCAUAUGGUGGCUUAUCUUCUGGACGUUCUGGUGGUGCAGGGUUAUCUGUUCAGAACUCAGUUAACCAAAGAAAACAUCAUGGAUAUUAGCCUCAUUCUAUGGACAACAGGUUUGUUUCUUAAGCUUUGGGGGAAAUCAUGAGGGCUACAGUUUGCUUGGGAGGUAGUUUUGCAUAUUGCUUUUUGAGUUGAUUCACAGAUUGUCGACAUGGUGAGGAUAAAAUCGGCUCAAGGGCAGGUUUGAUUUAUCAGGGUUCCCUUGGCAUCAAGAGAAAAGGUAUGUUUUUCUGCAACUAGUAAUUACUGAGCUUGGUGUUCCUAUCAAAUGUAUCCCAAGUCCUAACCACACUUAUGUGAUAGUUUAAAAUUAGAUUAAGCAAUAGAAAUGUAGUCAUACUAAACUUUGACUUUUUUUAGCACAAUUUUCAUGUGGAAAGUAAAGGGAAAAGUUUCCAAUUUUCCCUGCUUGUUUUGAAACUUGUACAACGAUAAGGCAGGAAAGUCCUAUCCUUUUAUGGCACAUUUGUCGAGUGAUUCAUCUAAUGUGCAGGAAAGGGUAAAAAAGGAGAAAAAAGGAAGUAUUCAAGGAAUAAUAUAACUACUGCUCUAUAGGAUCUUCAUUGUAUGAACAUAACAUCAAGUGCUGAUUAUCUUAUAGACAGGAACACAAUCGAAUGUAGAGUGCAGUUGAACAUAGAAUUCUGGGAAUCACUUUUUUUACAUUACAAUUUUUGUUCAUUUGCCCCAUUCAAUAUGGCUGACGCACUUUGUAGCUUCCAUGGUUGUGUUUAUGCGUAUUGUGCAUACGAGUGCAAUGAGAAAACAAAAGGUUUGACUUGUUUGCUUUUUCUGUAUUGGCAUAAUUCGAAGGAGUAUCAAUUGUGGAAGUUUUGCAUUUGCAUCCA